RNAcentral lists this ribosomal RNA (254 nucleotides) under uncultured bacterium. RNAcentral describes it as "partial 16S ribosomal RNA". It matches the Rfam family "Bacterial small subunit ribosomal RNA", at positions 524 to 776 of the family's 1533-position model. The record is from RNAcentral.
UACAGAGGUCUCAAGCGUUGUUCGGAUUCAUUGGGCGUAAAGGGUGUGUAGGUGGCGCCGUAAGUCGGGUGUGAAAUUUCGGAGCUUAACUCCGAAACUGCAUUCGAUACUGCCGGUGCUUGAGGACUGGAGAGGAGACUGGAAUUUACGGUGUAGCGGUGAAAUGCGUAGAUAUCGUAAGGAAGACCAGUGGCGAAGGCGGGUCUCUGGACAGUUCCUGACGCUGAGGCACGAAGGUCAGGGGAGCAAACGGG